CAGUCGCCGCGGUAAUACGUAGGUGGCAAGCGUUGUCCGGAAUUAUUGGGCGUAAAGGGCUCGCAGGCGGUUUCUUAAGUCUGAUGUGAGAGCCCCCGGCUCAACCGGGGAGGGUCAUUGGAAACUGGGAAACUUGAGUGCAGAAGAGGAGAGUGGAAUUCCACGUGUAGCGGUGAAAUGCGUAGAGAUGUGGAGGAACACCAGUGGCGAAGGCGACUCUCUGGUCUGUAACUGACGCUGAGGAGCGAAAGCGUGGGGAGCGAACAGGAUUAGAUACCCCCGUAGUCCCUGUCUCUUAUAA
This 301-nucleotide ribosomal RNA is filed under the name uncultured bacterium. Its description in RNAcentral is "partial 16S ribosomal RNA". It matches the Rfam family "Bacterial small subunit ribosomal RNA", at positions 509 to 809 of the family's 1533-position model. The record is from RNAcentral.